UACGGAGGGUGCAAGCGUUAAUCGGAAUCACUGGGCGUAAAGCGCGCGUAGGCGGCCGCGCAAGUCGGGUGUGAAAGCCCCGGGCUCAACCUGGGAAUUGCAUUCGAUACUAUGUGGCUUGAGUGUGGUAGAGGGAAGCGGAAUUCCGGGUGUAGCGGUGAAAUGCGUAGAUAUCCGGAGGAACAUCAGUGGCGAAGGCGGCUUCCUGGACCAACACUGACGCUGAGGCGCGAAAGCGUGGGGAGCAAACAGG
Molecule: ribosomal RNA, 253 nt
Filed under: uncultured bacterium
Lineage: Bacteria
Description: partial 16S ribosomal RNA
Rfam family: Bacterial small subunit ribosomal RNA
Source: RNAcentral